Non-coding RNA from Sanguibacter keddieii DSM 10542, 380 nucleotides. NCBI's taxonomy places the organism in Bacteria, Bacillati, Actinomycetota, Actinomycetes, Micrococcales, Sanguibacteraceae. The record is from Rfam.
UGAGUUGGCCAGACGACCGCGUCAGGGCUUCGGCCCUGCCGAGGAACGUCCGGGCUCCACAGAGCGAGGUGGUGGGUAACGCCCACCCGGGGUGACCCGCGGGACAGUGCCACAGAGAACAGACCGCCGCAGACGUCCGCGUCUGAGGUAAGGGUGAAACGGUGGUGUAAGAGACCACCAGCGCGCCAGGUGACUGGCGUGGCUCGGUAAACCCCACCUGGAGCAAGGUCAGACAGGGUGUGCUUGAGGGCUGCUCGCCCGAGCACCCGGGUAGACCGCUAGAGGCGUGCGGCAACGUACGUCGUAGAUGGAUGGUCGUCGCCCACACGCGGGCAACUGCGCGUGGGACACAGAACCCGGCGUACCGGCCAGCUCAUCCG